CAGUAGCCACGGUAGUACGAAGGGUGCAAGCGUUAAUCGGAAUUACUGGGCGUAGAGCGCGCGUAGGUGGUUUGUUAAGUUGGAUGUGAAAUCCCCGGGCUCAACCUGGGAACUGCAUUCAAAACUGACUGACUAGAGUAUGGUAGAGGGUGGUGGAAUUUCCUGUGUAGCGGUGAAAUGCGUAGAUAUAGGAAGGAACACCAGUGGCGAAGGCGACCACCUGGACUAAUACUGACACUGAGGUGCGAAAGCGUGGGGAGCAAACAGGAUUAGAUACCCCAGUAGUCCCUGUCUCUUAUAC
This 301-nucleotide ribosomal RNA is filed under the name uncultured bacterium. RNAcentral's name for it is "partial 16S ribosomal RNA". It matches the Rfam family "Bacterial small subunit ribosomal RNA", at positions 509 to 807 of the family's 1533-position model. The record is from RNAcentral.